RNAcentral lists this transfer RNA (73 nucleotides) under Brachyspira aalborgi. RNAcentral describes it as "tRNA-Thr". It matches the Rfam family "tRNA". From Rfam's summary of the family: Transfer RNA (tRNA) molecules are approximately 80 nucleotides in length. Their secondary structure includes four short double-helical elements and three loops (D, anti-codon, and T loops). Lineage: Bacteria; Pseudomonadati; Spirochaetota; Spirochaetia; Brachyspirales; Brachyspiraceae. The record is from RNAcentral. RNAcentral also lists the same sequence under 3 other names.
GCCAACCUAGCUCAGUUGGUAGAGCAACGCAUUCGUAAUGCGUGGGUCGUGGGUUCAACUCCCAUGGUUGGCU